This 253-nucleotide ribosomal RNA is filed under the name uncultured bacterium. RNAcentral describes it as "partial 16S ribosomal RNA". It matches the Rfam family "Bacterial small subunit ribosomal RNA", at positions 524 to 776 of the family's 1533-position model. The record is from RNAcentral.
UACGUAGGGUGCAAGCGUUGUCCGGAAUUAUUGGGCGUAAAGAGCUCGUAGGCGGUUUGUCGCGUCUGCUGUGAAAACCCGGGGCUCAACCCCGGGCCUGCAGCCGAUACGGGCAGACUAGAGUUCGGCAGGGGAGACUGGAAUUCCUGGUGUAGCGGUGAAAUGCGCAGAUAUCAGGAGGAACACCAGUGGCGAAGGCGGGUCUCUGGGCCGAUACUGACGCUGAGGAGCGAAAGCGUGGGGAGCAAACAGG